ACUCUUCAACCCACCAGUUUCUUGCUAAACUGCGCUGGUGUUUGGUUUCUGAACGUUGCUGGUUCCUUGUUGAACUUCAGCUCGCUUAAAAUACAUUAGCAUCUCAAUUUCGAAACUUGGAUUGACUCAGCGUAAUAGACUUUUCGCUGAGGACACCUUCAGGGUGGCCAUGUUAGAUAACGAUUGAUGCUUAUAGCACUCUAUCUAGUCACUCUUAG
RNAcentral lists this unclassified non-coding RNA (218 nucleotides) under Udeniozyma sp. RNAcentral's name for it is "partial internal transcribed spacer 2". RNAcentral also lists the same sequence under 2 other names. The record is from RNAcentral. Lineage: Eukaryota; Fungi; Basidiomycota; Microbotryomycetes; Colacogloeaceae.